Molecule: non-coding RNA, 75 nt
Organism: Phrynosoma platyrhinos (Desert horned lizard)
Lineage: Eukaryota; Metazoa; Chordata; Lepidosauria; Squamata; Phrynosomatidae
Source: the annotation of a GenBank genome assembly
GGGUUUGUAGUUUAGUGGUUUGAGUGUUGGACUAUGACUCUGGAGACCAGGGUUCAAUACCCUCUGGGUGACCCU